Molecule: long non-coding RNA, 1347 nt
Organism: Hipposideros armiger (great roundleaf bat)
Lineage: Eukaryota; Metazoa; Chordata; Mammalia; Chiroptera; Hipposideridae
Exons: 3
Source: RefSeq, a predicted model, not a curated record
UUGCUGAUUCCAUGUUUGUGAAUUCAUCCAUUCGCUAAAAUUUAUGUGUAACUCCAAAACUGAUCGCAGCCACUCGCAGGGAGGCACAGAGGUGACAAAUGUGAGUCCCCAACGCUCCUGUUCCUAGGUCGGCACCCUGCUUUGUGCUGUCAGCUCUGAUGCUGUAAACGGCGUCCUCCCUAGUUAGUGCCACGGUGGUUUCUCUCUCUCUUUUUUUCUUCUCUAGUAUUUUUGUGCUUUUUGCCUGCUUUUGCUGUAUUAAAUGGCCCUAAGUGUAGUGGGGAAGGGCUGUCUCGAGUCCUAAGGGCAAGAAGGCAGGGGUUGCCUUCCAGAGGAAACGCGGGCCUAGGCCAGCUUCCUUUGGGCACGAGUUAAAGAGCUGGUGGCCGGGUUCAAGUUCAUGCAUCAACCAUACACGUGAAACAAGGUGUCUUUAAGUAGAAGCACAUGUCGUACAAGGUCGCAUAUUGAUUGACUAACGAAGAUAUUGUGGCCAGAGGCUUUCGGGAAGCUAACCCUGAACUGCCCCCAGGAGCAAAGGUUCAGUGUUUGCCGCAACUCCAUGGAUUCGACUGUGUGUCAGCUAAUGUUAGCACAGGGGGAAGGCAAAACCCCAUCUGCCGUCCGGGACUCUGGAAUGCGUGAGUUGGGGGCUGGAAGGUGAACGUUUGGAGCAGAGAUGGUUUUGCAUUUGGGACGUUUCUGUCAGGGCCGUCACCACGCUGGCAGGGGCGUCCUCAGGAAGCAGAGGGGGACGGGCCCGUGCGCAUCACAUGAGCAGGUUGAGUUCCUCAGCCCCGUCAUCAGCAGUGAAGGAAAGAGGGUUUUGGUGAUGAGUUCCCCACCCCUCACCGGCUGCAGAAAACUCACCUGGCUCUGUGGUGGUUCGUGUGGGAAGCCGGGGCGAUCGCCAGGACAGGUAGCGGCUCAGCUUUUUGCUGCAAACGGAAAUUCAUGGAGAUGCUGACUGUCCCAUGGGGCCCUUUACGCACAUGGCCGCGACUCUUCAACAAACACUUUCCACGUUAUGUUCACUCCGCUGUGCAAUCAGUCGGUAAGUGGGAGAGCACGGCUUUCCUGCUCCUCUCCGUCAGUAGUCAAUUACGGAGCAACGAAGUCCUGUCAUGUCCCAGGGCAGGAAGAUCAUUCCAGCUAAAACAGUGCCGAGGUCUCAAGUUCCCUGACGGUCAGGAAAUGAGAUGGUUGGGCUUCGUCAUCUCUGUAGAUGGCUGUCGUCCGUGGGGUCUUGUCGGUCCUUCAGUGAUGGAAACAAGCCCUUUGAGAGGGGUCUGGCGCGGCCUCGCAGAGUUGACGCUUCCAUUUCAUGAGUCUCUAUUAAAUAAAUUC